Molecule: ribosomal RNA, 116 nt
Organism: Cercocebus atys (sooty mangabey)
Lineage: Eukaryota; Metazoa; Chordata; Mammalia; Primates; Cercopithecidae
Source: Ensembl
AUCUAUGGCCAUACCACCCUGAAUACAUGUGAUCUGAUCUGAUCUCAGAAAUGCAACAAGGUUGGUCCUGGUUAGUACUUGGAUGGGAGAAACUUUGUACUCUUAAGCCUGAGAUG